GGGGUUGUAGCUCAGUGGUAGAGUGUUCCUCUCACAUGUGAGAGGCCCUGGAUUCGAUCUUCAGCACCUCA
Ictidomys tridecemlineatus (thirteen-lined ground squirrel) is the source of this 71-nucleotide non-coding RNA. Lineage: Eukaryota; Metazoa; Chordata; Mammalia; Rodentia; Sciuridae. The record is from Rfam.